Symphalangus syndactylus (siamang) is the source of this 6833-nucleotide long non-coding RNA. RefSeq lists it as uncharacterized. The record is from RefSeq and is a predicted model, not a curated record. NCBI's taxonomy places the organism in Eukaryota, Metazoa, Chordata, Mammalia, Primates, Hylobatidae.
GUUGGAGAGGAGGGCGUGGCUUCCGGCAUUUGGUGGAGCCUUUGUAUCUCGCUCCCGCCAGAGCUUGGGAUCAGUCUCAGCUGUUCUGUGUCCUCCACCUCGGGAGUGCCCGGUGACUGUCACAGCCUCUUGCCCUGUGAUCUGCAGGUUCUGGGAGACGCACAGCUAAGAUGCCAGGACAUCCUGGAAGCUGGGAAAAGGUCCUGCUGACAAAGGAGAUUGUGACAUAUUGCUGUGCCUAACACUAAGGUGAUGUUACUUCUUUGCUUUGGCUGUGCCCUUGGAAGGCAUUGAGACAUACUGCUGUGCCAAGCACCAAGAUGAUGUAACGUGACUUUUCUCUUCUGCUUCAGGCCUACCAAAAGAAAAGAUUGUGACAGAUCACUGGACCCAGCACCUAGGUGAUGUGACUCUCCUUAUUUGCCUGAGACCUGCAUAUUUUAGAUAUUGUGACAUACAACUGGAACAAACACCUAGGGGUUGGAAUGCUCCUGCCUGAGUCCCUCCCACCGGAGGCCUUGUGAUGUUUUUUUGUUUGUUUUUUGUUUUUUUGAGAUGGGGUUUUGUUCUUGUUGCCCAGACUGGCGUGCGGUGGUUGCUCACCGCAACCUCUGCCUCCCGGGUUCAAGUGGUUUUCCUGCCUCAACCUCCCGAGUAGCUGAGAUUACAGACAUCUGCCACCAUGCCCGGCUAAUUUUCUAUUUUUAGUAGAGACGGGGUUUCUCCAUGUUGGUCAGGCUGGUCUCAAACUCCUGAAAUCAGGUGAUCCACCUGCCUUGGCCUCCCAAAAUAUUGGGAUUACAGUUGUGAGCCACCGCGCCCAGCUUUGUGAUGUAUUUCUGCAUCCAUCAUGCAGGAGAAAAAACUCUGUAUUUUUGCCCGCAUUCUGCCCAUGGGGAAGAUUUUGACAUAUCGUUGGGCCCAGCAACCAGUCAUUGUGUCUGCCAUAUCUGGGCCCAGCACCCAAGGGAUCUCACUCUUCUACAUGUGCCCUGCUUCCAGGGGAGGAUUGUAACAUCCCUGGUCAAGCCCCCAGUGAUGUGAUUCUCCUGCUUGAUGCCUGCCCUCAGGGAGGAUUGUGACAUAGCGUUGGCCCAACACAGUUGAUGUAACUCUUGCAUUUGCUCUUUGCAUACAGGUAGGAUUGUGACAUAUAUCUGGCCAAGCGUGCAGAUGUAAUGAUGACUGUCAUACCUUGAAGAAGCCAAUAGGAGAGAGAAUGUUGCUCUCAGGCUUAGGAAAAUGAGGAAGUCUUUCUAUACAAAAGUCAUAAAGAAUUACUACUCUCUCACAUAUAUAAAGCCCUAGUGUGUUACAGAGAAUGUCAUAACAGGGCCCAGCACACAAGUGAGAUUGUUUGUCCUAUGCAAACCACGCCAACCUUUACAGUUGUCACCCUGACCCAUUGACAGAGUCCACUAGUGAGGUCCUGAAACACAUGUGAACGCAGUCCACAGUUGGAAUAGUGACUGUUAUCUGUGAACAUCUGACUACAGUUGGGAUGGUGACUCAUUUCUAAAUCCAGCUCAUAGGAAGGUGAAGACUCUCCUAUCUGGUCUCAGUCAAUUAGAUGUUGACUCUCAUAUCUGGGCUUAGAACCACAGGAAAGAUGCUGGAGCUCCUUGUGCAAAGGUCACAGAGGAUUACCAAUCUUGCAUAUUGUAUAAAGUCCUCAGGUGACAUAGAGGGUGUCUCUCGAAUGCACACCCAGGCAACAGUAAAGAUUGUCAUUCUCCCACAUAAACACAUCCCACUGUUGAAGUUCUGAAUUUCACAGAGGCUGUCAAAAGUUGGAUGAUUUCCUCUCAUGUGUGGAUCUGGUCCACAGGUGGGUUAGUGACUUCCAGACCAAGAUUCAGCACACAUGUAAGGCUGUGACUACACUAAGAAGAUACAGUCUGCAGAAGAAAUCGUGGCUCUUUUGCACACAUUCUGUCAAUCAUUGAGAUUGCGACUUGUACUUAGACCCACCAUACAGGAGGUGUUGACUUUCAUACCUUUAGAACCUGGACAUGUUUGGAAUUUCUAAUCUAAUCCCUGGACUUUGCUGCAGGUGUUAUUGUGUGCAUUGCAAAGCACCUUAGUGAUUUGACUCUCCUGCCUUGGCCAAGCAUACAAAUGAGAUUGUGACAUAUGGCUUGACUCUGGACCUCCAAGAUGUGACUCUUUUUUUCCAGCCUUGGAGCUGCCCACAUAUUGCAUUGUGACAUAUUCCUAAGCCCUGCACUCAGGUUAUAUGACUCUCCUUUUUUGCUUAGGCCCUGGAUUUUUUUUUUUUUUUUUUUUUUUUUUUUUUUUUUUUUUUUUUUUUUGAGAAGGAGUCUCGCUCUUUCACCCAGGCUGGAGUGCAGUGGCGCAAUCUCGGCUCACUGCAGGCUCCGACCCCUGGGGUUCACGCCAUUCUCCUGCCUCAGCCUCCCGCGUAGCUGGGACUACAGGCACCCGCCACCUCGCCUGGUUAAUUUUUUGUAUUUUUUAGUAGAAACGGGGUUUCACUGUGUUAGUUAGCCAGGAUGGUCUCGAUCUCCUGACCUCGUGAUCCGCCCGCCUCGGCCUCCCAAAGUGCUGGGAUUACAGGCGUGAGCCACCGCGCCCGGCCUGCCCUGAAUAUUUUUCAUGUUAAGACAUAUUACUAGGUCCAACACCUAUAAAAUGGGAGACUGCCACCUGGGUCCUUUCUACAGAGGGCCUUGUGACAUACCUCUGCAUCAGUAACCUAGGAGAUGUUAUUCUCCAUUUUUGCCUGUACUCGCCCCACAGAAAAAAUUGUGGCUGGCGCAGGUACCAGGUGAUGUGUCUCUGCUGCCUGGGCCUGGACCACAGAGAGCAUUGUUACUGAUUGCUGGGCUCAGCACCCAGGUGAUGUGACUGCUGCCUGUGUGCUGCUUUCAGGAGAAGGUUGUAACUUAUUCCUGGCUGACUAUUCAGUUACACUCCUGACCUCUGCCCUCGGAAAAGGUUGUGUCAAGCCAGGUCCGGUGGCUCAUGCCAGUAAUCCCCAGCACUUUGGGAGAACCGAGGUGGGUGGAUCGCCUGAGGAGUUUGAGACCAGCUGGCCGACAUGGUGAAAACCCGUCUCUACUAAAAAUACAAAAAUUAAUCAGGCAUGGUGGUGGGCGCCUGUAAUCUCAGCUACUCGGGAGCCUGAGGCAGGACAAUUGCAUGAACCUGGGAGGUGGAGGUUGCAGUGAGUCAAGAUCGUGCCACUGCACUCCAGCCUGGGCAGCAGAGCAAGACUCCGUCUCGGAAAAAAAAAAAAAAAAAUUACAAAAAUCAGCCAGGCGUGGUGGCAUGCGCCUGUAGUCCCAGCUACUUGGGAGGCUGAGGCACAGGAAUCGCUUGAACCUAGGAGGCAGAGGUUGCAGUGAGCCAAGACUGUGCCAUUGCACUCCAGCCUGGGCAACAAGAGCAAAACUCCAUCUCAAAAAAAAAAAAAAAAAAAAGGUUGUGUCAUAUUCCUGGCUAAAAAUCCAGAUGAUGCGACCCUCUCUCCCUAUUCACAGGCAGGAUUGUAAAAUACAUCUUUUUUUUUUUUUUUUUGAGAGAGUUUCAUUUUGUCACCCAGGCUGGAGUGCAGUGGCAUGAUCUUGGCUCACUGCAACCUCCACUUCCCGGGUUCAAGCAAUUCUCCUGCCUCAGCCUCCUAAGUAGCUAGGACUACAGGCAUGAGCUACCACAUCUGGCUAAUUUUUGUAUUUCUAGUAGAGAUAGGGUUUCCCAGUGUUGGUGAGGCUGGUCUUAAACUCUUGACCUCAGGGGAUCCACCUGCUUCGGCCUCCCAAAGUGCUGGGAUUAUAGGUGUGAGCGACUGCACCUGGCUUGUAAAAUACAUCUGACCUAGAUCACAGAUGCAAUGGUUACUCUCAUACCUCACACUAUCUAAUGGGAGAGAUGCUCUCUCUCUCUUUUUUUUUUUUUUUUUGAGACAGUUUCGUUCUUGUUACCCAGGCUGCAGUGCAAUGGCGUGAUCUCUGCCCACCGCAACCUCUGCCUCCCAGGUUCAAGCGAUUCUGCCUCAGCCUCCCACGUAGCUGAGAUUACAGACAUGUGCCACCAUGCCCAGCUAAUUUUGUAUUUUUAGUAGAGAUGGGGUUUCUCCACGUUGGUUAGGCUGGUCUCGAACUCCCGACCUCAGGUGAUCUGCCCACCUCGGCCUCCCAAAGUGCUGGGAUUACAGGCAUGAGCCACUGCGCCCAGCCCAAGAUGCUGUCUGUUACAGCUAGGCCUAGCGUCAUGAAUAUGAUUCUGGGUCUCCUUGUACAAAGGUCAUAAAGAAUUACCACUUUCUUGUAUACUAUAUAAAUCUCUUGUGGUACAGAGAGUCUCAUUACAGGGUUCAGCAUACAGGUGAGAUUGUUUCUCAUAUACACUCCCCACCACCUGUUAGAAUUGUCACGCUCACACAUGGACAGAGCCCACUGGUGAGGCCCUGAAUCUCACACACAUACACAGUCUAUAGUUAAAAUUGUGACUGUCAUAUGUGAACAUCUGGCUAGAGUUGAAAUAAUGACUUAUUUCAGGCCGGGCGCGGUGGCUCACGCUUGUAAUCCCAGCACUUUGGGAGGCCAAGGUGGGCAGAUCACGAGGUCAAGAGAUCGAGACCACGGUGAAACCCGGUCUCUACUAAAAAUACAAAAAAUUAGCCAGGCGUGGUGGCAGGCGCCUGUAGUCCCAGCUACUUGGAGAGGCUGAGGCAGGAGAACGGCAUGAACCCAGGAGGCGGAGCUUGCAGUGAGCCGAGAUUGUGCCACUGCACUCCAGCCUGGGUGACAGAGCGAGACUCUGUCUCAAAAAAAAAUGACUUAUUUCUAAAUCCAGUUCAUAGGCAAGUGAGAAUUCUACCUGUCUAAGCCCAGGUAGGAUAGUCAACAUGUCCCUAAUUGGCUGGGGGACAUGUUGACUCUUCUAUCUGAGCUUAGGGCCAAACAGUUCAUGGAAGGGAUGAAGGCUGUCAGCUCUCAUGCACAGAUCCAGUUGGUGAGAUUGUCACUAGCAUACUCAGACCCAACAUACUCUGAUACCUAGAACUGGGACAUGUGCAGGAUUUUUAAUUACUGAACCUUCCUGCAGGUGUGAUUGUGACAUAUGUCUUUGUUAUGCACCUGAGUGGUUUGAUGCUCCUGCCUUGGUUCAACCCAAAGUGAAGACUGUGAUGUAUCACUGGACCCAGCAUCUCAGUGAUGUGACUCUUCUUUUUGGACACCACAAAUUUUGGGUAUUGUCAAAUAUUGCUGGAUCCUGUACCCAUGUUAUGUGACUCUCCAACCUGUGUCCUGCAUGUUGUGCCAUACUGCAGCACAAUGUGUCACAUUAGACAUCAUUACAUAUUGCUGGGCUCAACACCCAAGUGAUGUAACAUUUUCCUGGGCCCUGACUACAGGAGGCUUUGUGACAUAACUGAAUGCCCAUAACCAUGGUGAUGUUACUCUUCUCCUGCCUGGUCUCUGCUCACAGGGAAAUUGUGACAUAUCAUUGGCCUAGCAUCUUGGUCAUGUGACUCUCCUCUUUUUCUCAGGCCCCACAUAUUUGGGUAUUGUGACAUACCCAAAUGUGACACUGGGCUCAACACCUAAGGGAUGGGGGGGGUCCCCUACCUGGCCCCUUCCUGAAAGGGGCAUUGUGACAUACCUCUGCAUAGGUAUGUCACAGUUAUUACCUAGGAGAUGUGACUCUCCUUUUCUGCCUGCACCCUGCUUACAGGGAAAAUUGUGGCACAUUUCUAUGGCCAGCAACCAGGUGACGUGUUUCUCCUGCCUGGGUCUUUGUUACAGAAAAGAUGGUUGACAUAUCACUAGGCCCAGCAUCUAGGCGAUGUGACUCUCUUCCUCUGCCUGGUGCCUGCUUACAGGAACAUUGUAGCAUAUUGCUAUGCCCAGCACUUUUCUUUUAGGUUUUGCCUGCAGGAGACUUUGUGACAUUGCUGGGCCCUUCAUUGACAUUCUGUGACUCUUCUGUCUCUGCCCACUUGGGCCAUUGUGACAUAUUGCUGGGUCCAACAUCCAGGUGAUGUAACUUUUAUGCCUGGGUCCUGGCACCAGAGGACAUUGUCUUUGCACCAGUCACACAGGUGAUGUGAUUUUCUUCUGUUACCUGGUCUCUGCUCACAGGAAGAAUUGUGACCUUGGUCAGGCAUGGUGGCUCACACCUGUAAUCACAGCACUUUGGGAGGCCAAGGCGAGUGGAUACCUGAGGUCAAGAGUUUGAGACCAGCCUGGCCAACGUGGUGAAACCCCAUCUUACUUAAAACACAAAAAUUAGCUGGGCAUGGUGGCAGGCGCCUGUAGUUCCAGCUACCCACAAGGCUGAGGCAGGAGAAUCGCUUGAACUGGGGAGGCAGAGAUUGCAGUGAGCCGAGAUUGCACCACUGCACUCCAGCCUGGGUGACAGCGAGACUCCAUCUCAAAUUUAAAAAAAAAUUGUGACCUUUUGCAGCACAUAGCUGAUUUGACUGUGCUUUGUGGAGUACACCAAGCAGGUUGUCAAACUGGUGGUCCCUUUACUGAAAUUUCGUUUCCACGAUGGUGUUGGUGGGGCAGCAGCAGAAUCCGUGCCUUUUCUCCUGGAGUGUGCGAGUCCGUGGUCCUGAGUAUCUCACACAGAUGUGGCAAUUUAUGUGAUCUAAUUAAGACCAUUGGUACAGAAACAGAUUCAGACGUCCUCUCAGAAAUAAUGCAUUGUUUAGCAAAGUGUAUUGAUGUAAUGGGAGAUGGAUGCCUUAAUAAUGAACACUUUGAAGAACACCUUUGCCACAUGUCCUCAGGACCUUCUGAGGGCUGUGUCAUGGGGUGUGGUCACUCAUUUGACUCACAAUAAAUUUCUUCAAAUAUUUUAAA